GGGGGGGGGGGCUUCUCCAAUGGAUUGACAUACAAAACAACACACGCAUUAGAUGCGUCCACGGUGCACCUAAUAUACAAUAUUUCGCGGCAUGGUCUACUCUCCAGAUCCCGUUGAAGACAUAAGAAAUCUAUCCAGGCGCAUGUAGAGGUCCUAUUACCUAUUCCAAAAUUAAAAUAAAUCCUGAAUACAUCACGUAAAAUUAAACAAAAGUUAGAAAGUAACAAAAUACUUCGCAAGAUAAUAAAAAUAACGAAGUAAAACGUUACUUCUUUAAACGACUUCGUUCCAAGUAAAAGUACUCCAAAGAAAGUUUACUUUGUCACAUGCCGACUCAGUCAAAAAUAGAACUCAAGUACAGUAAUGAGGUACCUUUACUUCAUUUUAUUAUGGUAUUUAAUUAGAUUAAAUUUGAUUUUGUUAACAAAGUCAAAGUUUGGUUUCAAAGUUUGUUUUCCGCGUUUUACCCUCUUUUCCGCGUUUUACCCUCUUUUCCGCGUUUUACCCUCUUUUCCGCGUUUUACCCUCUUUUCCGCGUUUUACCCUCUUUUCCGCGUUUUACCCUCUUUUCCGCGUUUUACCCUCUUUUCCGCGUUUUACCCUCUUUUCCGCGUUUUACCCUCUAUUCCGUUUCCGCUUUUCCGGUUCCGCCAUUCCGGUUCCGCCAGUCCGUUCCGUUUCCGCGUUUUACCCCUACCCUGCAUGAGCCAUGGUUGUACUGAAUUACUAAGGAAUGUAGUAUAACUAUAGAGUAUAUAGCGUUUAUAUAGAGCGUCUUUCGUUACGACAGGUAAGAAGAAACAACCCUGUGUCGUUUAGUGUCAGUAUUGACGACCGUUC
Non-coding RNA from Paramuricea clavata, 840 nucleotides. The record is from the annotation of a GenBank genome assembly. NCBI's taxonomy places the organism in Eukaryota, Metazoa, Cnidaria, Anthozoa, Malacalcyonacea, Plexauridae.